UCCUGCAGCUAUACUGCCCCAUGCUGUGAUCUUGUCAGAUCUCAUUAACUAAUCAGGGUUGGGUCAGUCUUGAAGGGCAAAAUCCAUGGAACACCUAGUUACUGCAGGAA
Molecule: ribosomal RNA, 110 nt
Organism: Chelonoidis abingdonii (Abingdon island giant tortoise)
Lineage: Eukaryota; Metazoa; Chordata; Testudines; Testudinidae
Source: Ensembl